AAAAUGUUGAAAUUACCAGGUAACUUCGUACUACCAAUACUAUUCGCAGCCAUUGUGAACGUAGCUUUAAAAGUAUAAACGCCAAGUAUGUUUACAAGUCAGCGUUCACUCAGAACCAGUUUUCAGUUUCAAGGAAUUGACCGUCGUCAGAGGAUCGAGAAGCCCCCGUGACUUGCAUUUGGACUUCGUCUCGUCUGCUUCUCUCUUCGACUCGGACCAUUUCAUCCGAGUAACAUUAAUCGGCAAUUUCCAGCAGGAAUAUCGGGUCAAGAUUUUUUAAAGGGCGCGAAGCAAUUAAAUGGUCCGUGCUUAAUUGAUCAUUCGGCCGCGUUCGUCUCAUCGAUGAAGAAUAGUAGCCGCUGGCAAGUUUCUCCGAUUCGCUUAAAAUUUUCGUCGGAUUAUUCGCGACCUGUUGGGAAAAACGCGCCAAGUGUUUUUAAAUACAUCAAGGUGAUUUGAAAAGUGGAAACGAAGCAUUCGAUCUAUUUCCAAGAAUUAUUCAAUCUUCUUAUGUAACACCAGUUAUAAAUGAAGUUCCACUUAUUCGGUAAAUGUAAUAUCCGACACCUGAUAUCCGUGUAAUAGAUUCCAUAUCCUUUUCAGCUCUGUUAAUAAAUCUACCCCUUGUAGAUCCGAUAUUCUUCUUCAUUUAGGAUUUCAGCUUAAUUGCAAUUUCUAUCGAUCGAAUUUUCAGUAUAAAAUUACAGUCACUCGUAAGUCUUGCCACGUCUCUUAUUUCAAAUCCGCCA
This 749-nucleotide unclassified non-coding RNA is filed under the name Bombus terrestris (buff-tailed bumblebee). RNAcentral describes it as "misc RNA ENSBTSG00005024090.1". Lineage: Eukaryota; Metazoa; Arthropoda; Insecta; Hymenoptera; Apidae. The record is from RNAcentral.